RNAcentral lists this long non-coding RNA (429 nucleotides) under Cyanistes caeruleus (blue tit). Its description in RNAcentral is "lncRNA (ENSCCEG00000003215.1)". The record is from RNAcentral. Lineage: Eukaryota; Metazoa; Chordata; Aves; Passeriformes; Paridae.
UUUAUGCCAAUCCCUAAAUUCUUGAAAACAUGAGUUUACAAUGAAAACACUAACAGAUGCUCAGUGGUAGAAAGCAGAGGAGUGGUUGCCAUGGAAUCAGAUGGCAGGGAAGGUAGCUCACUUUUUAAACUCACUGGCAGCGAACACGUAGCACCAACAAGUGGACAGCAAUGCUGGCAGACAUUUAUCUCUGCACAGCACUUGGAAGGGCUGCGUGGAGGCUACUGCUGUGACCCAGCACUGGAAACUGGGAUAACCAGGGAAAAGCUGAGCAUCAGCAGCUCUACAGACAUUGACAACAGAAAGACCUAAAAAAUGCAAGGAAAUGCAGAAUAAGUUGAAGCGAGGAAACAAAAAGGGAUAUUUGUGUCUUUAAACAUUUUUCAACCGUAUUUUUGACCCAGGAUUUUAUAAAGAAGUAAGCAUAUU